AUGCAGUUUUUAUCUGAAGAAGAAGCUUAUUCCUUCUAUAACAAGUAUGCUUAUUCCAUGGGUUUUAGCAUCCGAAGAGGCAAUCAACAUAAAGUAAAAAAUUCUAGUACAAUACAACAACGGACAUUCACAUGUUCUCGUCAAGGAGUUCGUGCGGAAGAUAAAAGAGAGGAGAAAUUCAGUUAUAGUAGGCCUGAGACACGAUGUGGUUGUGAUGCACGUAUGAAGAUAAGUCUUAAUAAUGGGAUUUAUUAUGUAUACGAAUUUAAGGAAGCCCACAACCAUAGUCUUGCUACUGGAAAUAUGUCGCAAUACUUAAGAUCACACAGGAAAGUAACUGAAGCUCAACUAGCCAAUGCUGAGGCCGCAAAGUCAGUGGGCAUUUCAAAUAAAGCAACUAUUGAUCUAAUGACGAAAGAGGCAUGUGGACCUGAAAACCUUGGCUUUAUAAGCACAGACAUGAAAAAUCGUUUGUACUCAAAGAGAACACUAAAAGCAAAGGUGGGUGACACUGGUGGAGUGUUAGAAUAUAUGGAGAAGAAGGUUUCAGAAGAUGUCAAGUUUUUUUAUUCAAUUCAAGUUGAUGAGGAUGAUUUGAUAACUAAUAUAUUUUGGACGGACUCCAAAAUGGUCUCAGACUAUGCAUUAUUUGGUGAUGUCAUAUGUUUUGACACCACAUACAGGAAACUAGACGAUAGGCGUCCGUUUGGUUUAAUUGUUGGUGUAAAUAAUCACAAGAAAACAAUUGUGUUUGGUGCUGCACUUCUCUAUGAUGAACCAGCAGAAAGUUUUGCUUGGCUUUUUAGAACAUUUUUAACAGUAAUGUCUGGAAAGCAUCCACAUACAACUCUGACUGACGAAGAUGCGGCAAUGGCUAAGGCGAUCCGUUCAGUCCUGCCUCACUCUCACCAUAGACUUUGUGUGUGGCAUAUGAAUCAAAAUGCUAUCAAACAUCUUGGUGGAGUUUUACAGAUUACAAGAAGUUCAAUGCUGAUUUUCAGCAUUGUAUCUAUGAUAUUGAGGAGGAAGAUGAAUUUAUAA
This 1041-nucleotide ribosomal RNA is filed under the name Triticum aestivum (bread wheat). RNAcentral describes it as "partial small subunit ribosomal RNA". The record is from RNAcentral. Lineage: Eukaryota; Viridiplantae; Streptophyta; Magnoliopsida; Poales; Poaceae.